UAGGGAAUAUUAGUAAUGGGCGAAAGCCUGAACUAGCAACACCGCGUGUGCGAAGAAGGCCUUCGGGUUGUAAAGCACUUUUUGGAAGGAUUAGGAAGGAAUGUACUUCCAGGAUAAGUCUCGGCUAACUACGUGCCAGCAGCCGCGGUAACACGUAGGAGGCAAACGUUAUCCGGAUUUACUGGGCGUAAAGCGCGUGUAGGUGGUUCUGUAAGUAGGGCGUGAAAGCUCCUGGCUCAACUGGGAGAGGCCGUUCUAAACUGCAGAGCUAGAGGAUGGUAGAGGGAGGUGGAAUUCCGGGUGUAGCGGUGGAAUGCGCAGAUAUCCGGAGGGACACCAGUGGCGAAAGCGGCCUCCUGGACCAUUCCCGACACUCAGACGCGAAAGCUAGGGUAGCAAACG
This 402-nucleotide ribosomal RNA is filed under the name uncultured prokaryote. Its description in RNAcentral is "bacterial SSU rRNA". It matches the Rfam family "Bacterial small subunit ribosomal RNA", at positions 355 to 774 of the family's 1533-position model. The record is from RNAcentral.